GUUGUGGUUAAAAGCUCGUAGUUGACCUUGGGCCUGGCUGGCCGGUCCGCCUCACCGCGUGUACUGGUCCGGCCGGGCCUUUCCCUCUGUGGAACCCCAUGCCCUUCACUGGGUGUGGCGGGGAAACAGGACUUUUACUUUGAAAAAAUUAGAGUGCUCCAGGCAGGCCUAUGCUCGAAUACAUUAGCAUGGAAUAAUAGAAUAGGACGUGUGGUUCUAUUUUGUUGGUUUCUAGGACCGCCGUAAUGAUUAAUAGGGACAGUCGGGGGCAUCAGUAUUCAAUUGUCAGAGGUGAAAUUCUUGGAUUUAUUGAAGACUAACUACUGCGAAAGCAUUUGCCAAGGAUGUUUUCAUUAAUCAGGAACGAAAGUUAGGGGAUCGAAGACGAUCAGAUACCGUCGUAGUCUUAACCAUAAACUAUGCCGACUAGGGAUCGGACGAUGUUAUUUUUUGACUCGUUCGGCACCUUACGAGAAAUCAAAGUGCUUGGGCUCCAGGGGGAGUAUGGUCGCAAGGCUGAAACUUAAAGAAAUUGACGGAAGGGCACCACCAGGGGUGGAGCCUGCGGCUUAAUUUGACUCAACACGGGGAAACUCACCAGGUCCAGACACAAUGAGGAUUGACAGAUUGAGAGCUCUUUCUUGAUUUUGUGGGUGGUGGUGCAUGGCCGUUCUUAGUUGGUGGAGUGAUUUGUCUGCUUAAUUGCGAUAACGAACGAGACCUUAACCUGCUAAAUAGCCCGUAUUGCUUUGGCAGUACGCUGGCUUCUUAGAGGGACUAUCGGCUCAAGCCGAUGGAAGUUUGAGCAUAACAGUCUGUGAUGCCCUUUAGAUGUCUGGGCCGCACGCGCGCUACACUGAC
RNAcentral lists this ribosomal RNA (861 nucleotides) under uncultured fungus. Its description in RNAcentral is "SSU rRNA". It matches the Rfam family "Eukaryotic small subunit ribosomal RNA", at positions 612 to 1507 of the family's 1831-position model. The record is from RNAcentral. Lineage: Eukaryota; Fungi.